GAAGCGGUAGUUCAGUUGGUUAGACUUGUUAUAAAAAUAUAAGCGGCCUGUCACGCCGGGCUGUGGUUUAUAAAAAUCCGUCCGCUCCGCCA
Molecule: transfer RNA, 92 nt
Filed under: Moritella marina ATCC 15381
Lineage: Bacteria; Pseudomonadati; Pseudomonadota; Gammaproteobacteria; Alteromonadales; Moritellaceae
Description: tRNA-Leu
Source: RNAcentral